This 253-nucleotide ribosomal RNA is filed under the name uncultured bacterium. RNAcentral describes it as "partial 16S ribosomal RNA". It matches the Rfam family "Bacterial small subunit ribosomal RNA", at positions 524 to 776 of the family's 1533-position model. The record is from RNAcentral.
UACGAAGGGGGCUAGCGUUGCUCGGAAUUACUGGGCGUAAAGCGCACGUAGGCGGCUUUCUAAGUCGGGGGUGAAAUCCUGGAGCUCAACUCCAGAACUGCCUUCGAUACUGGAGAGCUCGAGUCCGGGAGAGGUGAGUGGAACUGCGAGUGUAGAGGUGAAAUUCGUAGAUAUUCGCAAGAACACCAGUGGCGAAGGCGGCUCGCUGGGCCGGUCCUGACACUGAGACGCGAAGGCGUGGGGAGCGAACGGG